This 74-nucleotide transfer RNA is filed under the name Salinicoccus halodurans. RNAcentral describes it as "tRNA-Met". It matches the Rfam family "tRNA". Rfam says of the family: Transfer RNA (tRNA) molecules are approximately 80 nucleotides in length. The record is from RNAcentral. Lineage: Bacteria; Bacillati; Bacillota; Bacilli; Caryophanales; Staphylococcaceae.
CGCGGGAUGGAGCAGUCUGGUAGCUCGUCGGGCUCAUAACCCGGAGGCCGGUGGUUCAAAUCCACCUCCCGCAA